AAGACCUUGCGCUUUUGGAGCGGCCGAUGUCUGAUUAGCUAGUUGGUGGGGUAAUGGCCUACCAAAGCUUCGAUCAGUAGCUGGUCUGAGAGGACGGCCAGCCACACUGGGACUGAGACACGGCCCAGACUCCUACGGGAGGCAGCAGUGGGGAAUUUUGGACAAUGGGCGCAAGCCUGAUCCAGCCAUGCCGCGUGAGUGAAAAAGGCCUUCGGGUUGUAAAGCUCUUUCAGCCGGGAAGAAAAGGCUGCGACUAAUAAUCGCAGUUCAUGACGGUACCGGAAGAAGAAGCACCGGCUAACUACGUGCCAGCAGCCGCGGUAAUACGUAGGGUGCGAGCGUUAAUCGGAAUUACUGGGCGUAAAGGGUGCGCAGGCGGUUUUGUAAGUCAGAUGUGAAAUCCCCGGGCUUAACCUGGGAACU
This 423-nucleotide ribosomal RNA is filed under the name uncultured bacterium. RNAcentral's name for it is "bacterial SSU rRNA". It matches the Rfam family "Bacterial small subunit ribosomal RNA", at positions 207 to 622 of the family's 1533-position model. The record is from RNAcentral.